GACGAACGCUGGCGGCGUGCUUAACACAUGCAAGUCGAACGGAAAGGCCCUGCUUUUGUGGGGUGCUCGAGUGGCGAACGGGUGAGUAACACGUGAGUAACCUGCCCUUGACUUUGGGAUAACUUCAGGAAACUGGGGCUAAUACCGGAUAGGAGCUCCUGCUGCAUGGUGGAGGUUGGAAAGUUUCGGCGGUUGGGGAUGGACUCGCGGCUUAUCAGCUUGUUGGUGGGGUAGUGGCUUACCAAGGCUUUGACGGGUAGCCGGCCUGAGAGGGUGACCGGCCACAUUGGGACUGAGAUACGGCCCAGACUCCUACGGGAGGCAGCAGUGGGGAAUAUUGCACAAUGGGCGGAAGCCUGAUGCAGCAACGCCGCGUGCGGGAUGACGGCCUUCGGGUUGUAAACCGCUUUCGCCUGUGACGAAGCGUGAGUGACGGUAAUGGGGAAAGAAGCACCGGCUAACUACGU
RNAcentral lists this ribosomal RNA (467 nucleotides) under uncultured bacterium. Its description in RNAcentral is "partial 16S ribosomal RNA". It matches the Rfam family "Bacterial small subunit ribosomal RNA", at positions 28 to 506 of the family's 1533-position model. The record is from RNAcentral.